This 269-nucleotide ribosomal RNA is filed under the name uncultured bacterium. RNAcentral describes it as "partial 16S ribosomal RNA". It matches the Rfam family "Bacterial small subunit ribosomal RNA", at positions 73 to 339 of the family's 1533-position model. The record is from RNAcentral.
AAAGAGCUUGCUCUUUCCGGAAUUGAGUGGCAAACGGGUGAGUAACACGUAAACAACCUGCCUUCAGGAUGGGGACAACAGUUGGAAACGACUGCUAAUACCGCAUGACACAUAGGUGUCGCAUGGCACUUAUGUCAAAGAUUUAUCGCUGAAAGAUGGCCUCGCGUCUGAUUAGCUAGUUGGUGAGGUAACAGCCCACCAAGGCGACGAUCAGUAGGGGUUCUGAGAGGAAGGUCCCCACAUUGGAACUGAGACACGGUCCAAACUCC